This 465-nucleotide ribosomal RNA is filed under the name Vreelandella stevensii. RNAcentral's name for it is "partial 16S ribosomal RNA". It matches the Rfam family "Bacterial small subunit ribosomal RNA", at positions 338 to 795 of the family's 1533-position model. The record is from RNAcentral. Lineage: Bacteria; Pseudomonadati; Pseudomonadota; Gammaproteobacteria; Oceanospirillales; Halomonadaceae.
CCUACGGGCGGCAGCAGUGGGGAAUAUUGGACAAUGGGCGAAAGCCUGAUCCAGCCAUGCCGCGUGUGUGAAGAAGGCCUUCGGGUUGUAAAGCACUUUCAGUGGGGAAGAAAGCCUUGGGGCUAAUACCCUCGAGGAAGGACAUCACCCACAGAAGAAGCACCGGCUAACUCCGUGCCAGCAGCCGCGGUAAUACGGAGGGUGCGAGCGUUAAUCGGAAUUACUGGGCGUAAAGCGCGCGUAGGCGGUCUGAUAAGCCGGUUGGGAAAGCCCCGGGCUCAACCUGGGAACGGCAUCCGGAACUGUCAGGCUAGAGUGCAGGAGAGGAAGGUAGAAUUCCCGGUGUAGCGGUGAAAUGCGUAGAGAUCGGGAGGAAUACCAGUGGCGAAGGCGGCCUUCUGGACUGACACUGACGCUGAGGUGCGAAAGCGUGGGUAGCAAACAGGAUUAGAUACCCUGGUAGUC